This 273-nucleotide unclassified non-coding RNA is filed under the name Hevea brasiliensis (rubber tree). The record is from RNAcentral. Lineage: Eukaryota; Viridiplantae; Streptophyta; Magnoliopsida; Malpighiales; Euphorbiaceae.
GAAACUGUCAUAUUAAGCACUGCCCCAGCAUCAACUGGUACAAGGAGGAGGCACGAUAGCGAAGUGUAAGGUCCUCUCAAGCAGUGAGAGGAGCCAGGGUUGAAGAAUGCGUAUUUAUCGGCAGAGUGGGGUUCGUUUAGCAAGCAAUCUUGUUGCUUGAAAGCACACACAACACUCAAUAGGAAUUUGAGUGUGAAAGCAGUCUGCUCAUGCCCAGCGGACCAAUUUACGAUGUCUUUGUCGCUGAUGUUCGUUAAGCAGGCCACAUGGAUU